RNAcentral lists this ribosomal RNA (1367 nucleotides) under bacterium NLAE-zl-P68. RNAcentral describes it as "16S ribosomal RNA". It matches the Rfam family "Bacterial small subunit ribosomal RNA", at positions 69 to 1421 of the family's 1533-position model. The record is from RNAcentral.
AAGAGAGGAGCUUGCUCUUCUUGGAUGAGUUGCGAACGGGUGAGUAACGCGUAGGUAACCUGCCUUGUAGCGGGGGAUAACUAUUGGAAACGAUAGCUAAUACCGCAUAACAAUGGAUGACACAUGUCAUUUAUUUGAAAGGGGCAAUUGCUCCACUACAAGAUGGACCUGCGUUGUAUUAGCUAGUAGGUGAGGUAACGGCUCACCUAGGCGACGAUACAUAGCCGACCUGAGAGGGUGAUCGGCCACACUGGGACUGAGACACGGCCCAGACUCCUACGGGAGGCAGCAGUAGGGAAUCUUCGGCAAUGGGGGCAACCCUGACCGAGCAACGCCGCGUGAGUGAAGAAGGUUUUCGGAUCGUAAAGCUCUGUUGUAAGUCAAGAACGAGUGUGAGAGUGGAAAGUUCACACUGUGACGGUAGCUUACCAGAAAGGGACGGCUAACUACGUGCCAGCAGCCGCGGUAAUACGUAGGUCCCGAGCGUUGUCCGGAUUUAUUGGGCGUAAAGCGAGCGCAGGCGGUUUGAUAAGUCUGAAGUUAAAGGCUGUGGCUCAACCAUAGUUCGCUUUGGAAACUGUCAAACUUGAGUGCAGAAGGGGGAGAGUGGAAUUCCAUGUGUAGCGGUGAAAUGCGUAGAUAUAUGGAGGAACACCGGUGGCGAAAGCGGCUCUAUGGUCUGUAACUGACGCUGAGGCUCGAAAGCGUGGGGAGCGAACAGGAUUAGAUACCCUGGUAGUCCACGCCGUAAACGAUGAGUGCUAGGUGUUGGAUCCUUUCCGGGAUUCAGUGCCGCAGCUAACGCAUUAAGCACUCCGCCUGGGGAGUACGACCGCAAGGUUGAAACCUCAAAGGAAUUGACGGGGGCCCGCACAAGCGGUGGAGCAUGUGGUUUAAUUNGAAGCAACGCGAAGAACCUUACCAGGUCUUGACAUCCCGAUGCUAUUUCUAGAGAUAGAAAGUUACUUCGGUACAUCGGUGACAGGUGGUGCAUGGUUGUCGUCAGCUCGUGUCGUGAGAUGUUGGGUUAAGUCCCGCAACGAGCGCAACCCCUAUUGUUAGUUGCCAUCAUUCAGUUGGGCACUCUAGCGAGACUGCCGGUAAUAAACCGGAGGAAGGUGGGGAUGACGUCAAAUCAUCAUGCCCCUUAUGACCUGGGCUACACACGUGCUACAAUGGUUGGUACAACGAGUUGCGAGUCGGUGACGGCAAGCUAAUCUCUUAAAGCCAAUCUCAGUUCGGAUUGUAGGCUGCAACUCGCCUNCAUGAAGUCGGAAUCGCUAGUAAUCGCGGAUCAGCACGCCNCGGUGAAUACGUUCCCGGGCCUUGUACACACCGCCCGUCACACCACGAGAGUUNGUAACACC